RNAcentral lists this ribosomal RNA (481 nucleotides) under uncultured bacterium. Its description in RNAcentral is "partial 16S ribosomal RNA". It matches the Rfam family "Bacterial small subunit ribosomal RNA", at positions 28 to 507 of the family's 1533-position model. The record is from RNAcentral.
GAUGAACGCUGGCGGCGUGCUUAACACAUGCAAGUCGAACGAAGCACUUUAUUUGUUUUCCUUCGGGACUGAUUAUUUUGUGACUGAGUGGCGGACGGGUGAGUAACGCGUGGGUAACCUGCCUUGUACAGGGGGAUAACAGUUGGAAACGGCUGCUAAUACCGCAUAAGCGCACGGCAUCGCAUGAUGCAGUGUGAAAAACUCCGGUGGUAUAAGAUGGACCCGCGUUGGAUUAGCUAGUUGGUGAGGUAACGGCCCACCAAGGCGACGAUCCAUAGCCGACCUGAGAGGGUGACCGGCCACAUUGGGACUGAGACACGGACCAAACUCCUACGGGAGGCAGCAGUGGGGAAUAUUGCACAAUGGGCGAAAGCCUGAUGCAGCGACGCCGCGUGAGCGAAGAAGUAUUUCGGUAUGUAAAGCUCUAUCAGCAGGGAAGAUAAUGACGGUACCUGACGAAGAAGCACCGGCUAAAUACGUG